RNAcentral lists this ribosomal RNA (449 nucleotides) under uncultured bacterium. RNAcentral's name for it is "bacterial SSU rRNA". It matches the Rfam family "Bacterial small subunit ribosomal RNA", at positions 355 to 796 of the family's 1533-position model. The record is from RNAcentral.
UCGAGAAUCAUUCGCAAUGGGCGAAAGCCUGACGAUGCGACGCUGCGUGAGCGAUGAAGGCCUUCGGGUCGUAAAGCUCUUUCGCCUGGGAACAAGAGAGGUCUGCUAACAUCAGGCCAAUUUGAGGGUAUCAGGUAAAGAAGCACCGGCUAACUCCGUGCCAGCAGCUGCGGUAAUACGGAGGGUGCAAGCAUUAAUCGGAUUUAUUGGGCGUAAAGGGCGCGUAGGCGGGGAGGAAAGUCAGAUGUGAAAUCCCGGGGCUCAACCUCGGAACUGCAUUUGAAACUUCCUUUCUUGAGGGUAGGCGGAGAAAAUGGAAUUCCACAAGUAGCGGUGAAAUGCGUAGAUAUGUGGAAGAACACCGGUGGCGAAGGCGAUUUUCUAGCUUACUCCUGACGCUGAGGCGCGAAAGCUAGGGGAGCAAACAGGAUUAGAUACCCGUGUAGUCC